GGGGGCGUAGCUCAGCUGGGAGAGCAUCUGCUUUGCAAGCAGGGGGUCGUCGGUUCAAUUCCGAUCGCCUCCACCA
Molecule: transfer RNA, 76 nt
Filed under: Candidatus Gygaella obscura
Lineage: Bacteria; Pseudomonadati; Candidatus Omnitrophota
Description: tRNA-Ala
Rfam family: tRNA
About the family: Transfer RNA (tRNA) molecules are approximately 80 nucleotides in length.
Source: RNAcentral